This 60-nucleotide transfer RNA is filed under the name Kluyveromyces lactis. RNAcentral's name for it is "partial transfer RNA". The record is from RNAcentral. Lineage: Eukaryota; Fungi; Ascomycota; Saccharomycetes; Saccharomycetales; Saccharomycetaceae.
GAAUCGAACCUGGGUUUCAUCGGCCACAACGAUGUGUAAUAACCCCUAUACUAAGAUGGC